AGAGUUUGAUCAUGGCUCAGAACGAACGCUGGCGGCAGGCCUAACACAUGCAAGUCGAGCGCCCCGCAAGGGGAGCGGCGGACGGGUGAGUAACACGUGGGAAUUUUCCUCAAGGUACGGAACAACUCAGGGAAACUUGGGCUAAUACCGUAUGAUGCAGAGAUGCCAAAGAUUUAUCGCCUUGGGAUAAGCCCGCGUCAGAUUAGGUAGUUGGUGGGGUAAUGGCCUACCAAGCCUGUGAUCUGUAGCUGGUCUGAGAGGACGAUCAGCCACAUUGGGACUGAGACACGGCCCAAACUCCUACGGGAGGCAGCAGUGGGGAAUCUUGCGCAAUGGGCGAAAGCCUGACGCAGCCAUGCCGCGUGAAUGAUGAAGGUCUUAGGAUUGUAAAGUUCUUUCGCCCGUGACGAUGAUGACGGUAACGGGAGGAGAAGCCCCGGCUAACUUCGUGCCAGCAGCCGCGGUAAUACGAAGGGGGCUAGCGUUGUUCGGAAUUACUGGGCGUAAAGCGCGCGUAGGCGGUUUUGCAAGCCAGAGGUGAAAUGCCCGAGCUCAACUUGGGAAUUGCCUUUGGGACUGUGAGGCUUUGAGGACGAGAGAGGUGAGUGGAAUUCCCAGUGUAGAGGUGAAAUUCGUAGAUAUUGGGAAGAACACCGGUGGCGAAGGCGGCUCACUGGCUCGUUUCUGACGCUAAAGCGCGAAAGCGUGGGGAUCAAACAGGAUUAGAUACCCUGGUAGUCCACGCUGUAAACGAUGAGUGCUAGGCGUCGGCAGGCUUGCCUGUCGGUGCCGCAGCUAAC
Molecule: ribosomal RNA, 800 nt
Filed under: uncultured bacterium
Lineage: Bacteria
Description: bacterial SSU rRNA
Rfam family: Bacterial small subunit ribosomal RNA
Source: RNAcentral